Molecule: ribosomal RNA, 609 nt
Filed under: Bacillus sp. 13540
Lineage: Bacteria; Bacillati; Bacillota; Bacilli; Caryophanales; Bacillaceae
Description: bacterial SSU rRNA
Rfam family: Bacterial small subunit ribosomal RNA
Source: RNAcentral
GAAGAUGGGAGCUUGCUCCCUGAUGUUAGCGGCGGACGGGUGAGUAACACGUGGGUAACCUGCCUGUAAGACUGGGAUAACUCCGGGAAACCGGGGCUAAUACCGGAUGCUUGUUUGAACCGCAUGGUUCAAACAUAAAAGGUGGCUUCGGCUACCACUUACAGAUGGACCCGCGGCGCAUUAGCUAGUUGGUGAGGUAAUGGCUCACCAAGGCAACGAUGCGUAGCCGACCUGAGAGGGUGAUCGGCCACACUGGGACUGAGACACGGCCCAGACUCCUACGGGAGGCAGCAGUAGGGAAUCUUCCGCAAUGGACGAAAGUCUGACGGAGCAACGCCGCGUGAGUGAUGAAGGUUUUCGGAUCGUAAAGCUCUGUUGUUAGGGAAGAACAAGUGCCGUUCAAAUAGGGCGGCACCUUGACGGUACCUAACCAGAAAGCCACGGCUAACUACGUGCCAGCAGCCGCGGUAAUACGUAGGUGGCAAGCGUUGUCCGGAAUUAUUGGGCGUAAAGGGCUCGCAGGCGGUUUCUUAAGUCUGAUGUGAAAGCCCCCGGCUCAACCGGGGAGGGUCAUUGGAAACUGGGGAACUUGAGUGCAGAAGAGGAGAG